RNAcentral lists this ribosomal RNA (172 nucleotides) under Lumbricus terrestris (common earthworm). RNAcentral's name for it is "partial large subunit ribosomal RNA". Lineage: Eukaryota; Metazoa; Annelida; Clitellata; Crassiclitellata; Lumbricidae. The record is from RNAcentral.
UCUAACAUGUGCGCGAGUCGUUGGGCGCUGUACGAAACCCGAAGGCGCAAUGAAAGUGAAGGCCCGGUCUCCGGCCGGCCUGGGUGGGAUCCGGGCGGUCUCGGCGCUCGCGCACCACCGGCCCGUCUCGUUAGCCGCGUCUAAGAGGCGGAGCAAGAGCGUACACGUUGGG